AAAUUGAAGAGUUUGAUCAUGGCUCAGAUUGAACGCUGGCGGCAGGCCUAACACAUGCAAGUCGAACGGUAACAGGAAGCAGCUUGCUGCUUCGCUGACGAGUGGCGGACGGGUGAGUAAUGUCUGGGAAACUGCCUGAUGGAGGGGGAUAACUACUGGAAACGGUAGCUAAUACCGCAUAAUGUCGCAAGACCAAAGAGGGGGACCUUCGGGCCUCUUGCCAUCGGAUGUGCCCAGAUGGGAUUAGCUUGUUGGUGGGGUAACGGCUCACCAAGGCGACGAUCCCUAGCUGGUCUGAGAGGAUGACCAGCCACACUGGAACUGAGACACGGUCCAGACUCCUACGGGAGGCAGCAGUGGGGAAUAUUGCACAAUGGGCGCAAGCCUGAUGCAGCCAUGCCGCGUGUAUGAAGAAGGCCUUCGGGUUGUAAAGUACUUUCAGCGGGGAGGAAGGGAGUAAAGUUAAUACCUUUGCUCAUUGACGUUACCCGCAGAAGAAGCACCGGCUAACUCCGUGCCAGCAGCCGCGGUAAUACGGAGGGUGCAAGCGUUAAUCGGAAUUACUGGGCGUAAAGCGCACGCAGGCGGUUUGUUAAGUCAGAUGUGAAAUCCCCGGGCUCAACCUGGGAACUGCAUCUGAUACUGGCAAGCUUGAGUCUCGUAGAGGGGGGUAGAAUUCCAGGUGUAGCGGUGAAAU
This 697-nucleotide ribosomal RNA is filed under the name Shigella sonnei. RNAcentral describes it as "bacterial SSU rRNA". It matches the Rfam family "Bacterial small subunit ribosomal RNA", at positions 1 to 687 of the family's 1533-position model. The record is from RNAcentral. Lineage: Bacteria; Pseudomonadati; Pseudomonadota; Gammaproteobacteria; Enterobacterales; Enterobacteriaceae.